GGCCGAGUGGCGAAACAGGCAGACGCACGGGACUUAAAAUCCCGGGGAGAGUCAUCUCCGUGCGGGUUCGAUUCCCGCCUCGGCCA
RNAcentral lists this transfer RNA (86 nucleotides) under Planctomycetota bacterium. Its description in RNAcentral is "Planctomycetes bacterium tRNA-Leu". It matches the Rfam family "tRNA". From Rfam's summary of the family: Transfer RNA (tRNA) molecules are approximately 80 nucleotides in length. Their secondary structure includes four short double-helical elements and three loops (D, anti-codon, and T loops). Further hydrogen bonds mediate the characteristic L-shaped molecular structure. tRNAs have two regions of fundamental functional importance: the anti-codon, which is responsible for specific mRNA codon recognition, and the 3' end, to which the tRNAs corresponding amino acid is attached (by aminoacyl-tRNA synthetases). tRNAs cope with the degeneracy of the genetic code in two manners: having more than one tRNA (with a specific anti-codon) for a particular amino acid; and 'wobble' base-pairing, i.e. permitting non-standard base-pairing at the 3rd anti-codon position. Lineage: Bacteria; Pseudomonadati; Planctomycetota. The record is from RNAcentral.